AGUUAAAUAACUUAGGGAAAGUAUAUGUUUUGAAAAUAUAAUAAAGAAGUUCGACUCUUCUUUUAACUU
This 69-nucleotide transfer RNA is filed under the name Xenocatantops humilis. Its description in RNAcentral is "tRNA-Ser". It matches the Rfam family "tRNA". From Rfam's summary of the family: Transfer RNA (tRNA) molecules are approximately 80 nucleotides in length. Their secondary structure includes four short double-helical elements and three loops (D, anti-codon, and T loops). RNAcentral also lists the same sequence under 1 other name. Lineage: Eukaryota; Metazoa; Arthropoda; Insecta; Orthoptera; Acrididae. The record is from RNAcentral.